Prosopis cineraria is the source of this 1193-nucleotide long non-coding RNA. RefSeq lists it as uncharacterized. The record is from RefSeq and is a predicted model, not a curated record. The transcript has 5 exons. NCBI's taxonomy places the organism in Eukaryota, Viridiplantae, Streptophyta, Magnoliopsida, Fabales, Fabaceae.
UUAGCCCUUAUGACCUCAUUUUUAAAAAGCCUACUUGGAAGCCCAGCUUGCAAAAACGAAAGAUAAAAUGAUGGACUUUAUGACCUUAUGACAGGAGACAACUGCCAAUGCACCUCAUAUACAAUCUCCUGAAUUUCACAACACAAAAGGGAGUAAGUUCUUAUAUGCAUGUCAGAGGGUACUUCACUAGGAAAAACCAGUGAACUAUGUGAGCUAUAUAUCUAGAAGAUUCUGAUAGAUGCUUGGUCGCUCUUGGUAAUGUUCUAACUUUGGGAUAAAUCAUCCACCAUAAGAAAAUGCAACAAUAUCAAGUGAAAGUGGUGGUAGAAGAUGUAAAAUUACCAGAGGCACUCAUCCCAUUCCUUACUUACAAGGUCAAGACUGUGUCUAAAGCUGUUCGUGCUUUUAUCGUGUGGCUCAAGAGACUUUUGCCUUCGCUGAUCAGGACCUCAACGUUACUGAUAUCCUUGCUCUCUUUGGUGCUCACACAUUCAUAAUAGCACAUUGCAUCACAUUUGUGGAUAUAUUAUACAAUUUUCGUCUCCUAGAUGCUACCUUAGAUUCUCAAGAACAUACCAGUUGGAAUCUUCUCCAGGCUAAAAAGUUCAACAGGCAAAGAAGAGAGGCUUAAAGCUUGGAGGUAGGAGGUGUAGGGUUCAAAUCUUGAUUUUGGCAUAUUUUGCAACAAAUACGUGACAUAGCACGUGGUGGUAACGUUGUGCAUAAGGUAGCUUGAGGAGGCAUACAUGUGGUGGGUGACGUACACGUGUGUUGGUGACAUGAUGCAUGAGGUGACUUGAGAAGGCACACACAUGGCAAGUGAUAUGGCACGAAGUAGGGGUGUGACACAUGAGGUGGCUUGAGGAGGUGCACAUAUGGCGUAUGACAUGGCAUGAGAUGGUGGGAUGAUGUAGCAUCAUCUGUCGAAUGUGUGACCUAUGGCAUGGCGCAAGAUGGCAUGUGAUGUGGGAUUAUUUAUCACAUACAUGGCAGGUGACAUGGCAUCACGUGAUGCACACGUGGUGAAGUAACGUAGUAUAAAAUAAAUUAUUAUUUUUUAAAAAAAGUAAAAGUCUUUUUGGUUGCAACAAGAAGUAGACUUUUAUAUGUAAAAAACUUUUGGUAGUGACAUAUGUUUGUCGCCACCAAAAACUGUUAGCGAUAAUUGUUAUAGCGACGAUGACUUUUGGACU